CCUACGGGAGGCAGCAGUGGGGAAUAUUGCACAAUGGGGGAAACCCUGAUGCAGCGACGCCGCGUGAGUGAAGAAGUAAUUCGUUAUGUAAAGCCCUAUCAGCAGGGAAGAAAAGGACGGUACCUGAGUAAGAAGCCCCGGCUAACUAUGUGCCAGCAGCCGCGGUAAUACGUAGGGGGCAAGCGGUAUCCGGAUUUACGGGGUGUAAAGGGAGCGUAGACGGGAGUGCAAGUCUGGAGUGAAAGGCGGGGGGUCAACCCCCGGACUGCUCUGGAAACUGUACGGCUGGAGUGCAGGAGAGGUAAGUGGAAUUCCUAGUGUAGCGGUGAAAUGCGUAGAUAUUAGGAGGAACACCAGUGGCGAAGGCGGCUUACUGGACUGUAACUGACGUUGAGGCUCGAAAGCGUGGGGAGCAAACAGGAUUAGAUACCCGGGUAGUC
RNAcentral lists this ribosomal RNA (440 nucleotides) under uncultured bacterium. RNAcentral's name for it is "partial 16S ribosomal RNA". It matches the Rfam family "Bacterial small subunit ribosomal RNA", at positions 338 to 795 of the family's 1533-position model. The record is from RNAcentral.